This 262-nucleotide long non-coding RNA is filed under the name Elaeis guineensis (African oil palm). RNAcentral describes it as "long non-coding RNA (EGUI_LNC062846)". The record is from RNAcentral. Lineage: Eukaryota; Viridiplantae; Streptophyta; Magnoliopsida; Arecales; Arecaceae.
CCUAUCGAAACAGCUUGCAACAAUCUGCAACCACUUUGCAACCAUAAAAGAACCAAGCAAAUAUGCUCUUUGCGAUUGUUAAGUAGUACCUUGAUUUUUCAAUCCAAACUCUAAAAACUUUUGACGAAGAGGACCUUACAAGCUCUCAAAUAAGUUAGAGACUAAGUCUACGAAGGGUAUCCUUUUAUAAUGUGUCUUAUCCAUUAGAGGCAGUAUUUAAAUCAAUCGUAAGGAUCGGAAGAUGGACGUUAUCCAUGAUGGU